UACGUAGGGAGCGAGCGUUGUCCGGAUUCAUUGGGCGUAAAGGGCGCGUAGGCGGCUCAUGAAGGCUGUGGUGAAAGUCCGGGGCUCAACCUCGGAUCGGCCGUGGCGACUCGUGGGCUGGAGCACUGUAGAGGCGGGUGGAAUUCCGGGUGUAGCGGUGGAAUGCGUAGAGAUCCGGAAGAACACCAGUGGCGAAGGCGGCCCGCUGGGCAGUGGCUGACGCUGAGGCGCGACAGCGUGGGGAGCAAACAGG
Molecule: ribosomal RNA, 253 nt
Filed under: uncultured bacterium
Lineage: Bacteria
Description: partial 16S ribosomal RNA
Rfam family: Bacterial small subunit ribosomal RNA
Source: RNAcentral